GGAGGCCUCUCCUACUUCCUAUUUAGAUCUUCACAGUAUCCUGUAAGAGGGCCUUCCCUAUCCUGUCAUCAGACUUCCCCUACUUCUGUCAAGAGUCUCCUCUAUUUCCUGGCAGCAGUCCUCUAGCUCAUCCCUGAAGACCUCCUCUUCAAGCAAUGACAAAGACAGACACAGGUGAAGUCUGACGGAGACAGUCAAUGCUCUUCACUCUGAACGGCUUCCUCCAGUACAGCAGCCAAGCAUCCUGUCCUACCUCUCAAUACUUUGGCUCAUCUAUCACCAUUAAACUGGUAAUAGAGGCCAAGGACUUGAAGGACCCUUGAGCUCCUGCCCUGUGCAUUCUCUCCGAUAUUUUAUUUUUAUUUUUAUUGUUGUUGUUAUUUUAUCACUACUUAUAUUAUUAAUAGUCUUAGGGUUUUAUUGCUGUGAAGAGGCACCAUGACCACGGCAAUUCUUAUAAAAUAAAACAUUUAAUUGAGGCUGGCUUAAGUGCAGAGGUUUAGUCCGUUAUUGUCAUGGACAGAAGCAUGGCAAUGUGCAGGCUGACAUGGCGCUAGAGAGGUAGCCGAGAGUUCUACAUCCAGAUCAGCAGACAGCAGGAAGAGAAUGAGACACUGGGCCUGGCUUGAGCAUCCGAGACCUCAAAGCUCACCCCUGGUGACACACUUCCUCCAAGAAAGCCAUACCUACUCCAGCAAGGCCAUACCUUCUAAUAAUGCUACUCCCUAUGGAUCUCUGGAGGCCAUUUUCAUUCAAACCAACACCACCGCCACAUUACCAUCACCAUCAUCAUCAUCAUUAUUGUGGGAAAACAUAUGGAGCUGGCCAGAACACCAGAAAACACAAACUGGAGAAAGUGAUCAUUAAAACUCACCCAGCAAGAAACAUGGCAGGCACAAUUCAACUCUGAAAGAGGAACAGCUUUGCCCCAUUGCUCAGAAACGAAGUGUUCAGACAAGAGAAGGAACAAGCUGUGGCCUCCAUCCAGGAGCCCUCUACAACAAAGAUGGCAAUGGUAACCCACUUCUUAGAAAAGCUAUGCAACAUUACUGAUUUCUGUUGUGUUUUGUCUUGAGCUUGUAUCAGCUUUUAAGAAGUUCAUUUUGAGCUGGGCAUUGGUGGCGCACACCUUUAAUCCCAGUACUUGGGAGGCAGAGGCAAGUGGAUCUCUGUGAGUUCGAGGUCAGCCUGGUCUCCAGAGCGAGUGCCAGGCUCCAAAUCUACACAGAGAAACCCUGUCUCGAAAAAAAAGUUCAUUUUGGACCAAAAUCCAACCUCUGGCUCCCUUUGAACAUUCCAAAUGUCUGUUUCCCAGGGCUACAGAGUGUAAUCAGUACUGGACAGUGGCCAACAUCCUCACGGUUUUGAUUACUUUGAUCCAGUGUCAUGGCCCCUGUGGCCUUGUUGGUUCUUCCCUUGGUCCAUCUUGGUGAACACCAGCCCCAUACCCACAGCAAUCCCACUGUCUCUGCUACCUGGAUCUGGCCCAAGACUCUCAAGACCUCACUGGAGAUCAUGCUACAGCAUGAACCAUCAAUGUCUCAAACCAUCUGGAAAUGCUGGCCAGCUACCUCAAACAGUCUGGUUGUGUUGCUUCCUGAUGACUACUACAAGGCCUUCCUCAAGGCCAUCACCCUGUCCAGCUUGGAAACCUGCAUGAAGAUAUAAGAUUAUGAUGGGACUGAGCCCUCUGGCCUCUAAAGAGGUCUAUGGACCUGAGAGGAGAGGUAGCUAGGAGACAAUCAUGGGUAUCGAGGGUUUAGGAGCUGUGGCCAGAAAACACAUCUGUUUCUUGCUGGCUGGUUUCCAGAGCAUCAGAACUGUCCAGAGCCUGGGGCUCCUGAGGCAGUUCCUCUCCCUGGACCUGUGGACAGCUUAAAGCACAUUUCUUAGCAUCAUUUACAAGGUAUGUGACUCAGUCCUUGCUAACAUGUGGUUAGCAUGUUAGCUAGCAUCCUUGCUAGCAUGGAUGUCUCAGUCACAGCUCCCUGGAAGCAGGUCCUGCCUCACUGCACACAGCACAUCCUGCCGCUCAUAUUCCCAGAAUCCCGACUCCCUUGUUAGUUCCUGCAAAUGGGAAAUCGGAGAUUCAGAAAGUUUAAGUUGACCCUAAGGCACUCCCAGACAUGCUGCCUUUCUUUGCUGACCCCUCUUGGGCCAGGAGACACUAAAUGCCCCCAAAACAGGCGACACCUCCUAUAUAAAGAGAAGAAUUGCCUUGCGUGAGGUGGGGAAAUGCUAAAUGUUCAUUCAAACAGAUUCUCCCAAGAGGGGAUAAUCCCUCUCCCCCAACCCCAAGGAACCUGUGCUGGCUAGUUUUAUGUCAACUUGACACAAACUAAAGUCAUCUGAGAGGAGGAACCUCAAUUGAGAAAAUGACUCCAUAAGAUCCAGCUGUAGUACAUUUUCUUGAUUAGUGAUUGAUGAGGAGGACCCAUCCCAGUGUGGGUGCUGCCAUCCCUGGGCUGGUGGUCCUGGUUCUAUAAGAAAGCAGACUAAGCAAGCCAUGAGGAACAAGCCAGUAAGCAACACCCCUCCAUGGCCUCUGCAUCAGCUCCUGCCUCCAGGUUCCUGCCCUGCCUUUCCUCCUCAACUUGCUUUUGGUCAUGCUGUUUCAUCCCAGCAAUAGUAACCCUAAGACAGAACCCAUGGAAAAGCUUCUCAUGGAAAAGAGUAAGUAAGUGAUGCUUUCCCAGCCUAGUCCAUCUCAAAGCCCAGUGAGUUCCUGGACCUCCUUGAACUCCUAGGAGAGGCUGAUGUGAGAUAUUAUUUUAAUUAGGCAAAGAUGUGUUACAUUUGUUUAUGCUGUGGAAUAUCACUUUAACUGUGUAAAGGUGUGUUACAUUUGUUUAUGCUGUGGAAUAUCACUUUAACUGUGUAAAGGUGUGUUACAUUUGUUUAUGCUGUGGAAUAUCACUUUAACUGUGUAAAGGUGUGUUAUAUUUGUUUAUGCUGCUUUUGUUUAAUGAUGUAAGGGAGUGUGUUUAAUUAUGUAAAAAAUGUUUGCAUUUGUUUCACCUUGCCUGCCUAAGUCACCUGAUUGGUCUCAUAAAGAGCUGAAUGACCAAUAUCUAGGUUGAGAGAGGGAUAGGUGGGGCUGGCAGGCAGAGAGAAUAAAUAAGAAGAGAAAUCUAGGUUCAAGAAGAAAAACAAAAAGAAUGAGUAGAAAGAGGGACACAUCCAGGGCCAGAAGCCAGGCAGCCAGACACAGAGACAGCAGGAAAGUAAGACAUAAAGAAAUAAAGGUAAAAAGCCCAGAGGCAAAAGGUAGAUAAAGAGAAACAGGUCAAUUUAAGUUAGAAGAGGUAGCCAGAAAUAAGCCUAAGCUAGGCUGAGCAUUCAAAACUAAUAAGUCUCCAUGUCAUGAUUUGGAAACUAGUUGGUGGCCCAAAAGAAAAAGCCUGGUACAGGCUGAGGUUAGGACCUGUGCUGAGAAAUAUUUCAAUGACUCAGUCCUCUACGAAUGAAGCACAGAAGGGUGUCUAUGCCUGGGACACACUGAGACAGGCAUCCAUCAUUAAUUAGUGCCUCAGCCAGGAUGAGAAGAGCUGAGAAGGCCAGUGACCUGCCUUAUCACUGUCACUCAGUCCUCAGUGCUUUCUCCAAUGUCCCAAGGGAAGCUGGCAGAGCUGUGUGUUGUCAGCUGCUCUCACUCUUAGCCUCAUCUCCCCUAUACAGGCCUCAGCCAGCUGGAUCAGGCAGCAUCUCCCAAGAUCCCCAGGCCACAGUCCCUAUCCUUCAGAGGAAAGCAAGUCCCAAAUCCGUGGAACUUGAGCUCUUUCUGCACCUCACCUCCACCCCUUGCCCUGCUAACUCCACCAGGGCCUAUCCAGGGCAUUGGCAAGAGGAACAGUGUAAGUCUUGGACCACAGAUUCCCCUUCCUGCCCAAAUAAAGGAUCCACAACCCUCCUGUCUGGCCCACAACAGACCACAGACACUUGCACAUUGCUGUAUUCACUCCACAGCAGUCUGUCAGCACCUACUGUUAUGUGCUCUCACCAGCCACCCAAGAAAGGCCCGAAGGUAAUGAGUGGGCAGAGCUGUGCACCUGAGAGGAGCAGAGCUGGCUUUGUCCCUGAGUCCUCCCUACCCUGACCCCCCAGGGAGGGAAAUGUAACCCUGCACACUCACGCCCAUUCAUGUGGGACAGCACUUGUCCAGGGUAAUGCACAGCAGCCCCAGCAUGGACAGAUUUUGGAAGUCUUGACAAUCGGUGACUAGUAAGACAAACGCCCUUCCCUCGCUUUACUUCUUCCCUGUCGCUACCCAAAGCAGAUGAAGUAAAAUGAUUUGGGCCUGAGAGAUUCUGUAAAACCCCAGGACAUAAAAAUUACUGUUGAUUUGUUUCAAGUUUCCUGUCAAUCAUUCUUUUCAUUAUUGGUAUUCUGUAAGCGUGGAUUUAACUGGGAAUAGAUGCUGGGACUACAUGCUACAUAAGAGCCGGUCAAGACAAACAGGAAAUAAGACACAGCCCUCCCAAGAGCCUGGAGUCUACUCUUUCAAAUGCAAGUGACUUGCUCCCACAUCAUGAUGGACCACUUGCCUGUGAGGCCCCAUGGAAAUUGAAAUAGAUUCAGAUGGACCAGUAGCCCUGGGUAGACCAGCAACACUGUUCUGGGCUUUUCAUCAAAACUGUUGGAAAAGAAUUCAGGCAUCCUGAUGCAGGGAUGGUGAGGGUUGCAUUCAAGCAGCUUUGUACCACAUGGGGACAGCCCAAGGCACCAACAGAAAAAUCCAGCCUGUGAGAUGGCCAGAAACACUAGCUGUAUGUUUUUUGUUAUACUACCCAGUAAAUCUCGACUUUUGAACAAUCUGCUUUCAAUUGUGUUUCUGCCACUUGAGACUGAAUUAGGAGGAAAUAAAUCCAUCUGAUUCAUGUGGCACCAUGUGAGGAUUUGCAGGGACUUCAAGUUGGAAGAGAGCUCAGUACUACAAAUGAAGCCUCAGAGCUUGCCACAGUGACUGCUGCCAGAGCUCCUUGUCACUGAAAAGAAAGGGCUGUGUGUUCAAAAUGAGCCCAAGGGAUCCUAAGCUAAUCAUGGUGACCCUUCCCUAGCUUAGAUGGUCUUCUGUGCCUAGGUGCGGUUGUGGACCUCUAAAUGGGGUACACAGCACUCCUUUGAUAUGCUAACCCAGGGAGCUUGAUACUGAGUCCACAAGGAAACACAGCUCCUGGUUUGCACACAUGCUUACACACACACACACACACACACACACACACACACACACACACACACACGCACACACGCG
This 5251-nucleotide long non-coding RNA is filed under the name Cricetulus griseus (Chinese hamster). RNAcentral's name for it is "lncRNA (ENSCGRG00015037312.1)". Lineage: Eukaryota; Metazoa; Chordata; Mammalia; Rodentia; Cricetidae. The record is from RNAcentral.